ACGGGGUGCAGCAGGCGCGAAACCUUUGCAAUGUGCGCAAGCACGACAAGGUUAAUCCGAGUGUUUCCUGCUUAAGGAAUCUUUUGCUAGUCCUAAAAACACUAGUGAAUAAGGGGUGGGCAAGUUCUGGUGUCAGCCGCCGCGGUAAAACCAGCACCUCAAGUGGUCAGGAGGAUUAUUGGGCCUAAAGCAUCCGUAGCUUGCUCUGUAAGUUUCCGGUUAAAUCCAUUAGCUCAACUAAUGGCCUGCCGGAAAUACUGCAGAACUAGGAAGUGGGAGAGGUAGACGGUACUCGGUAGGAAGGGGUAAAAUCCUUUGAUCUAUUGAUGACCACCUGUGGCGAAGGCGGUCUACCAGAACACGUUCGACAGUGAGGGAUGAAAGCUGGGGGAGCAAACCGGAUUAGAUACCCGGGUAGUCCCAGCCGUAAACGAUGCAGACUCGAUGAUGCACUGGCUUGUGGCCAGUGCAGUGUCGCAGGGAAGCCGUUAAGUUUGCCGCCUGGGAAGUACGUACGCAAGU
This 522-nucleotide ribosomal RNA is filed under the name uncultured archaeon. RNAcentral describes it as "bacterial SSU rRNA". It matches the Rfam family "Archaeal small subunit ribosomal RNA", at positions 325 to 848 of the family's 1478-position model. The record is from RNAcentral.